This 334-nucleotide unclassified non-coding RNA is filed under the name soil metagenome. RNAcentral's name for it is "partial contains 5.8S ribosomal RNA, internal transcribed spacer 2, and large subunit ribosomal RNA". The stretch from base 1 to 120 matches the Rfam family "5.8S ribosomal RNA", at positions 35 to 154 of the family's 154-position model. The record is from RNAcentral.
GAUGAAGAACGCAGCGAAAUGCGAUAAGUAAUGUGAAUUGCAGAAUUCAGUGAAUCAUCGAAUCUUUGAACGCACAUUGCGCCCCCCAGGAUUCUGGCGGGCAUGCCUGUUCGAGCGUCAUUUCAACCAUCAAGCCCUGCUUGUGUUGGGGUCCUGCGGCUGCCCGCAGGCCCUGAAAACCAGUGGCGGGCUCGCUAGUCACACCGAGCGCAGUAGCACAUCUCGCUCAGGGCGUGCGGCGGGCUCCAGCCGUUAAAGCACCCACCUUUCGCAAGGUUGACCUCGGAUCAGGUAGGAAUACCCGCUGAACUUAAGCAUAUCAAUAAGCGGAGGA